RNAcentral lists this ribosomal RNA (500 nucleotides) under uncultured bacterium. RNAcentral's name for it is "partial 16S ribosomal RNA". It matches the Rfam family "Bacterial small subunit ribosomal RNA", at positions 30 to 523 of the family's 1533-position model. The record is from RNAcentral.
AUUGAACGCUGGCGGCAUGCCUUACUCAUGCAAGUCGAACGGCAGCACGGGAGCAAUCCUGGUGGCGAGUGGCGAACGGGUGAGUAAGGUAUCGGAACGUGCCCAGUCGUGGAGGAUAACGUAGCGAGAGUUACGCUAAUACCGCAUACGAUCUAUGGAUCAAAUCGGGGGAUCGCAAGACCUUGCGCGAUUGGCGCGGCAGAUAUCAGAUUAGGUAGUUGGUGGGGUAAAGGCUCACCAAGCCGACUAUCUGUAGCUGGUCUGAGAGGACGACCAGCCACACUGGGACUGAGACACGGCCCAGACUCCUACGGGAGGCAGCAGUGGGGAAUUUUGGACAAUGGGCGAAAGCCUGAUCCAGCCAUGCCGCGUGCAGGAUGAAGGCCUUCGGGUUGUAAACUGCUUUUGUACGGAACGAAAAGGUUUGGCCUAAUAAGCUGAGCUCAUGACGGUACCGUAAGAAUAAGCACCGGCUAACUACGUGCCAGCCGCCGCAGUAA